UGACAAUGGACUUACAAAGCUGGCUUUGGAAUGAAUAAAGAAAAUAUUCUCUGAAGAAUUGUCUCUGAAGAAAACAAAAAUCCUUUGAAAGGGCUUCCCUGAAAAGUGCCACACAAGGGACAAGGCAGUGGAGUAUCAGGCCCCGAAUUGGCUAAUAAGUGCCGUAGUUACUUAAAUGACUUCAGGUCUCCAGCUAAUCAUAAACAACGAGCGGACAAAGCACUUUUACCUACAGUCUGAUUAAAAGCACCUCAGUUUACUGGUAUGCAGCAUCUUGUAUAUAUAUACCAAUGUAGCUGAGAUAACGUCUAAUAAAGUAGCCUCACAGCAGAAAAUCUGGUAGUGA
This 346-nucleotide long non-coding RNA is filed under the name Crocodylus porosus (Australian saltwater crocodile). RNAcentral's name for it is "lncRNA (ENSCPRG00005017671.1)". The record is from RNAcentral. Lineage: Eukaryota; Metazoa; Chordata; Crocodylia; Crocodylidae.